Molecule: non-coding RNA, 142 nt
Filed under: unclassified sequences
Description: SAM-I-IV sequence
Rfam family: SAM-I/IV (S-adenosyl methionine) riboswitch aptamer
About the family: It is found upstream of a number of genes which code for proteins involved in methionine or cysteine biosynthesis.
Source: Rfam by way of RNAcentral
CUUUGGCAUCCAGAGUCCCACGCGACCUCUUGAAGCGUGGGCGGCAACCGGGUCAAGCGCGAUCACGGUGCCGAGGUCAGCCCUUCUGGGGUGAUGCGGCACGCAAGGCCAUGCCUUGUGCAGCAACAUCAGCGCUCGUUGA